GACGAGCUGAUCAGCAUGCGCUGUGAGAGGCCUUGGUGUAGCACUUAGUGGGGAGGAGCUACUGGUAUACUGGGCUAGUGACGUACCCACAGGAGUAAGCACCGGCUACUCUGUGCCAGCAGCCGCGUAAUACAGAGGGUGCGAGCGUUAAUCGGAUUUACUGGGCGUAAAGCGCGCGUAGGUGGUUAAUUAAGUCAAAUGUGAAAUCCCCGAGCUUAACUUGGGAAUUGCAUUCGAUACUGGUUAGCUAGAGUAUGGGAGAGGAUGGUAGAAUUCCAGGUGUAGCGGUGAAAUGCGUAGAGAUCUGGAGGAAUACCGAUGGCGAAGGCAGCCAUCUGGCCUAAUACUGACACUGAGGUGCGAAAGCAUGGGGAGCAAACAGGAUUAGAUACCCUGGUAGUCCAUGCCGUAAACGAUGUCUACUAGCCGUUGGGGGAUUUGAUCCUUUAGUGGCGCAGCUAACGCGAUAAGUAGACCGCCUGGGGAGUACGGUCGCAAGACUAAAACUCAAAUGAAUUGACGGGGGCCCGCACAAGCGGUGGAGCAUGUGGUUUAAUUCGAUGCAACGCGAAGAACCUUACCUGGCCUUGACAUAGUAGAGACUUUCCAGAGAUGGAAAGGUGCCUUCGGGAAUCUACAUACAGGUGCUGCAUGGCUGUCGUCAGCUCGUGUCGUGAGAUGUUGGGUUAAGUCCCGCAACGAGCGCAACCCUUUUCCUUACUUGCCAGCAUUUCGGAUGGGAACUUUAAGGAUACUGCCAGUGACAAACUGGAGGAAGGCGGGGACGACGUCAAGUCAUCAUGGCCCUUACGGCCAGGGCUACACACGUGCUACAAUGGUCGGUACAAAGGGUUGCUACACAGCGAUGUGAUGCUAAUCUCAAAAAGCCGAUCGUAGUCCGGAUCGCAGUCUGCAACUCGACUGCGUGAAGUCGGAAUCGCUAGUAAUCGCGGAUCAGAAUGCCGCGGUGAAUACGUUCCCGGGCCUUGUACACACCGCCCGUCACACCAUGGGAGUUUGUUGC
RNAcentral lists this ribosomal RNA (1024 nucleotides) under Acinetobacter sp. D7012. Its description in RNAcentral is "bacterial SSU rRNA". It matches the Rfam family "Bacterial small subunit ribosomal RNA", at positions 385 to 1418 of the family's 1533-position model. The record is from RNAcentral. Lineage: Bacteria; Pseudomonadati; Pseudomonadota; Gammaproteobacteria; Moraxellales; Moraxellaceae.